This 434-nucleotide ribosomal RNA is filed under the name uncultured Lachnospiraceae bacterium. RNAcentral describes it as "partial 16S ribosomal RNA". It matches the Rfam family "Bacterial small subunit ribosomal RNA", at positions 341 to 792 of the family's 1533-position model. Lineage: Bacteria; Bacillati; Bacillota; Clostridia; Lachnospirales; Lachnospiraceae. The record is from RNAcentral.
ACGGGAGGCAGCAGUGGGGAAUAUUGCACAAUGGGCGAAAGCCUGAUGCAGCGACGCCGCGUGAAUGAAGAAGUAUUUCGGUAUGUAAAGUUCUAUCAGCAGGGAAGAAAAUGACGGUACCUGGCUAAGAAGCACCGGCUAAAUACGUGCCAGCAGCCGCGGUAAUACGUAUGGUGCAAGCGUUAUCCGGAUUUACUGGGUGUAAAGGGAGCGCAGGCGGCGCGGCAAGUCUGAUGUGAAAGCCCGGGGCUCAACCCCGGUACUGCAUUGGAAACUGUCGUGCUAGAGUGUCGGAGGGGUAAGCGGUAUUCCUAGUGUAGCGGUGAAAUGCGUAGAUAUUAGGAGGAACACCAGUGGCGAAGGCGGCUUACUGGACGAUAACUGACGCUGAGGCUCGAAAGCGUGGGGAGCAAACAGGAUUAGAUACCCUGGUA